Molecule: ribosomal RNA, 460 nt
Filed under: uncultured bacterium
Lineage: Bacteria
Description: partial 16S ribosomal RNA
Rfam family: Bacterial small subunit ribosomal RNA
Source: RNAcentral
CCUACGGGUGGCUACAGUGAGGAAUAUUGGUCAAUGGGCGCGAGCCUGAACCAGCCAAGUCGCGUGAAGGCUGACGGUCCUACGGAUUGUAAACCUCUUUUGCCGGGGAGCAAGCGUUCGUUCGUGAACGCUCGUCGAGAGUACCCGGAGAAAACGCAUCGGCUAACUCCGUGCCAGCAGCCGCGGUAAUACGGAGGAGGCGAGCUUUAUCCGGAUUUAUUGUGUUUCAAGGGUGCGGAGGCGGGAUGCCCAGUCAGCGGUAAAAAGGCGGUGCUCAAACCCGUCGAGCGGUUGAAACUGGCGGUCUUGAGUGGGAGAGAAGUAUGCGGAAUGGGUGGUGUAGCGGUGAAAUGCAUAGAUAUCACGAAGAACUCCGAUUGCGAAGGCAGCAUAACGGCGCCCUACUGACGCUGAGGCACGAAAGCGUGGGUAUCGAACAGGAUUAGAUACCCGAGGAGUC